CGUCAGAUAGCUCAGUGGUCUAGAGCAGUCGCCCGGCAAGCGAAAGACCCCAGUUCGAUUCCCGGUCUAGCGA
This 73-nucleotide transfer RNA is filed under the name Harpegnathos saltator (Jerdon's jumping ant). It matches the Rfam family "tRNA". Rfam says of the family: Transfer RNA (tRNA) molecules are approximately 80 nucleotides in length. Their secondary structure includes four short double-helical elements and three loops (D, anti-codon, and T loops). Lineage: Eukaryota; Metazoa; Arthropoda; Insecta; Hymenoptera; Formicidae. The record is from Rfam by way of RNAcentral.